Mastomys coucha (southern multimammate mouse) is the source of this 1439-nucleotide long non-coding RNA. RefSeq lists it as uncharacterized. NCBI's taxonomy places the organism in Eukaryota, Metazoa, Chordata, Mammalia, Rodentia, Muridae. The transcript is spliced from 3 exons. The record is from RefSeq and is a predicted model, not a curated record.
ACCUGUGAGGGGUUUGGGCAGAAAUCUGAGCCAUCUUCUCAAGAGCUAUCACUGAAUGCCUACCAUCUCUUGUGAACAAAUUUACUCUGCUCAGUGGAUGUCCGGAGUUCUGAGGUGGCAGCUCUACUGGACCCAUGCUGUCAAAACGGCCCACUGCCCCACAGUUGCAAUUUCCUGGCCCUCCUACACAAGGAACAGGCUGAGAACCACUGUGCUAGGUGCUAGCACCUCCGUAUCUACUUAUUAGAUCCCAGCAUGGGCCAGCCAAGCGUGCUCUCAAGGCUCAGCGGGUCUAUGCUGCCUGCCUCUGCUCCUCGAGCGUCCCCAGGUGUCAAGGCUGCCAUCACCUGCCUGUGGCUCAGCUUUAUCUCCAGCUCUGCCUCUCCCACCAGGCUCCUGGGACUGCGCUGCUUGGACAGUCUGGAUGGGGCCUCUGAGAAGACGCCUAGAGACCAAGUCUGAGCUGCCCACGUCCCAGAGUCACCAGAAGAGGUUCUGACUUUUGAAUGGCCACCAUCCACAGACUGGAAACUAAGACCCACGGGCCUGUCACAUCUCCCAGAGUGAUCCAGCGUCCUGUUCCUCUGGGGCCACCCUAAAUAAAAAAGACCCACUCCCCGCUCUGUGAGCCCCACCUACCUAACUAGAACAGGUGGCAGUGAAGAGUGUGUCUGCAAAACCACAGGCUCCGGACACCCUGCCAGCUCCAGGCCUGUCACCCGUCACCGUGGCUCCCAGCCCCCACCCAGCUUCUUCCUAUCUCGGGAAGAUCCAGUGAAGACUCAGGCCAAAUCCUCACAAAUCAGCAUCCUUGCAAGGGACUUCAAUAGUGGGAAACCAUCAUAGUAAGUCAUUCUGUCCCUCCAGGCCCCAUUCCAUGCCUUGCCCUCGGGCAGAAGUCAGGGACCCGAGGAAGGGACACAGGCACAGUACUAUGCUCAGGAAGCUCACAGCUCCUGAGGAGAUCCACCGGAGACCAGGCACUGUCACUGGGCCGUGGUAAGGUGGCUAUGGGGUUUUAGGACAACAUCCUAGACCAGGCCAGAAGGAGGCUCUCCAGCUCACGAAAGACAAGGAUUUCAAAAGAUGUGAAUCAUCCAGCAAAAGGGGCAUGGCUGCCUGCCGAGCCACCAUCAUCUCUACGUUCUUCAUAGGGCUAGGGGGUCUUACUGCCAUUGCCCUCAAGGAAACUGAGGCCCAGAGAUCCGAAGCAAGAGGCCUCAAACCCUAUUGUUCCCAGGCAGCCAAGCUGGUGGCCUAUAGGUCUUCCUAUACGUCCUGGGGUCUCUGCCGUGGCUGACAACAGUUAUUAGAACAUUCUCUGAUCUAAGGGCCGCAUCAGUGCUGAUAGCAUUGAAACCAAAGGCUCCCAGGCCAAAAGCAGCAGGGCAGGAGGAGGCCUAGCCACAGCAGAGGAAUGGCUGAGUCCAGCGGUUACC